Molecule: ribosomal RNA, 468 nt
Filed under: uncultured bacterium
Lineage: Bacteria
Description: partial 16S ribosomal RNA
Rfam family: Bacterial small subunit ribosomal RNA
Source: RNAcentral
GACGAACGCUGGCGGCGUGCUUAACACAUGCCAGUCGAACGGAAGGGCCCUGCUUUUGUGGGGUGCUCGAGUGGCGAACGGGUGAGUAACACGUGAGUAACCUGCCCUUGACUUUGGGAUAACUUCAGGAAACUGGGGCUAAUACCGGAUAGGAGCUCCUGCUGCAUGGUGGGGGUUGGAAAGUUUCGGCGGUUGGGGAUGGACUCGCGGCUUAUCAGCUUGUUGGUGGGGUAGUGGCUUACCAAGGCUUUGACGGGUAGCCAGCCUGAGAGGGUGACCGGCCACAUUGGGACUGAGAUACGGCCCAGACUCCUACGGGAGGCAGCAGUGGGGAAUAUUGCACAAUGGGCGGAAGCCUGAUGCAGCAACGCCGCGUGCGGGAUGACGGCCUUCGGGUUGUAAACCGCUUUCGCCUGUGACGAAGCGUGAGUGACGGUAAUGGGUAAAGAAGCACCGGCUAACUACGUG